Long non-coding RNA from Rhincodon typus (whale shark), 1185 nucleotides. RefSeq lists it as uncharacterized. NCBI's taxonomy places the organism in Eukaryota, Metazoa, Chordata, Chondrichthyes, Orectolobiformes, Rhincodontidae. The transcript is spliced from 3 exons. The record is from RefSeq and is a predicted model, not a curated record.
UGUACUUUCUUAAUUAACUUAUUCUUUCCAGUUUUGAUGACUUAGAAACUUGUUUCUCGUUCUCAUAUUUUGGAAACUUCACAUACUAACCUGCCGUUUGCUGAUAUUAAACUGUCCUUCUGAACUGAAUUCAAAGUACUGGUAGCCCCUGGUCUGUUUUCUCUGUAUGUUGAAAAAGUUCAACUUUGGAAGGAGUUAAUUUAUUAACCUCUUGGGUAUCUUAGGCAUUUAACUUAAAUCUCAGGCUGUCUUAAAAGUUACAUAAUUGUUUCACUGUUCCAACUGUUUAAAAUGUUGCCUUCACAAAACUAAAACUAUAAGUCUAUUUUUGUCUCUACUUUAAAAUAAAAUAAUUAAAUGACAAUGCACACCGUUAUUACACUGAAUGCAAUAGAAAAAAUUUUGGUUUCUGUUAUGGUAGAAAGAUUUCCUACAACAUUUGUACUGAGGAGUGAAAAAUCAUUUCAUUAAUCUGUUUCGAGACUAGUUUUGUAAAUGUCUUUUUUUUAAAGAAAAAAAGGUAGGUUUUCAAAAUGGAUAAUGUUUUAAAACUGUUUUGUUACAUUACUUAAUACUAUAUUUUGCGUGUAUUUUGCAGCAAUAUCCUAGUGCAGAGAAUAAAGGUACUCCAACAUUUAACCAGCAGGAUUAUGAGCACGCAGAAGAAUACCUGAAGAACCCACAAGCAAGACCACCAUUUGGAACGUUAAGCAAAUCUGAGUGGGAGGCUACAAGUAUUUACUUGGUAUUUGCAUUUGAAAAGUUGCCAUAAGAAAACAAACAAACCUCAAUUUCUCGCUGCAAUCUUUGGUACCUAAAGAAAAGAAGCUCCAGUACUAGAGAGGACUUAAUUCUAGCAGUUGUUUGAAACUGCUUUGAAGUACUGUAUUUCAAGACUGACAUUUAUGCCUGUGAAGUCUGGAAGAUAUCUUGGAGAUCUUGGAUUAGAACUGCAGCCCUUGGUGGGCCAGUGUUAGAUUUACAAGAAACGAUGUCUUGCUGGAAUGUUUUUUUUUUGUUAAUGUUCUUUGUCAAUACUUGUUUCACUUGCAAGUAUAUAUUUUUGUUUAAAACAUUUUUGGAUACCGUACUUUUUUACUUUUAGGAUGACCAAGUUCAAGAAAUGAUGUUAGAAAGUUGAAUUAGUUGUUAAUUAUAUUAUAAAAUAAAAUAUACGGUAAAGAA